RNAcentral lists this ribosomal RNA (207 nucleotides) under uncultured bacterium. RNAcentral describes it as "partial 16S ribosomal RNA". It matches the Rfam family "Bacterial small subunit ribosomal RNA", at positions 568 to 774 of the family's 1533-position model. The record is from RNAcentral.
UGCGUAGGUGGCGGGGUAAGUCAGGUGUGAAAUCUCGAGGCUCAACCUCGAAACUGCACUUGAUACUGCCUUGCUGGAGUACUGGAGAGGAGAUUGGAAUUUACGGUGUAGCAGUGAAAUGCGUAGAUAUCGUAAGGAAGACCAGUGGCGAAGGCGAAUCUCUGGACAGUUACUGACACUGAGGCACGAAGGCCAGGGGAGCAAACG